RNAcentral lists this non-coding RNA (147 nucleotides) under Gorilla gorilla gorilla (western lowland gorilla). The record is from Rfam by way of RNAcentral. Lineage: Eukaryota; Metazoa; Chordata; Mammalia; Primates; Hominidae.
GCCGGGCGUGGUGGCGGACGCCUGUAAUCCCAGCUACUCGGGAGGCUGAGACAGAGAAUUGCUUGAACCCAGGAGGCAGAGGUUGCAGUGAGCCGAGAUUACGCCACUGCACUCUAGCCUGGGCGACAGAGCGAGACUCCGUCUCAA